RNAcentral lists this long non-coding RNA (813 nucleotides) under Sorghum bicolor (sorghum). RNAcentral describes it as "long non-coding RNA (SBIC_LNC016001)". Lineage: Eukaryota; Viridiplantae; Streptophyta; Magnoliopsida; Poales; Poaceae. The record is from RNAcentral.
UGGGGCUUACUAUUUUUAACUUUUUUAUUUUAUUUUUAGUAUAGUAUGAACAUAAUUAAUUAAGCAGACUAUUUAAAAUAAUUGAAAGGGAAAGGAUAACUACCAAGUUUACCUCUUGGCAAGACGUUCGGUGUUUUUAAGUCCUCCGAACGAGACUCUCCAUUUUCUCAAUUGUCCUGGGAUUCGUUGGGUGGCGUAGUCGGUACUUCCGGCGGCGCCUCCUCUUCAUGUAUAGUUAUCUUCUCUUUCCAUACCUGACUCGGUGCUUCGGUCUCCUCUGGAUAAUUAUGUUUAAACUAUACGUCUUCUGAUCUUAUCACUUCUCCUUCGUAGUCUGCCCAUCCGUCCCUGAUGAUCUGCCUCCUCUAGUUGCGGUUGCGUCGUUUUCUUACCUGCUUAGAUUCUUCAACGAUAUAGUUAGGGUCAGUAAAAUAACGGCGUACCUUCUCUGAGGGGAAGUGCAUAUGGACUUCUCCGGUUCCAAUGUAGAUGAUUGCUUUAACGGUGCUGAGGAACGGUCUUCCAAGGAUGAUGGGUGGAUCGUACUCGUCUUCUCCCAUGUCAAUAACCUGAAAGUCUGUGUAGAUAAAAUGAUCGUCUAUUUUGACUGGGACAUCAAUUACUAUUCCUUUAACCACUCGAAAUGUAUGACUGGGACAUCAAUUACUAUUCCGAACAAGAGCCGAUAGGUGACUGCGGCCAUUAUGUUGACGACCGAUCCGGUGUCGCAAAACGUCCGUUAGAAGCUGUAUCCAUUUAUGGAGCAGUAGAUGCUUGGCAUUCCUGGGUUGUCCUUCUUGGUCAAAAACGGUG